Long non-coding RNA from Strigops habroptila (Kakapo), 2438 nucleotides. Lineage: Eukaryota; Metazoa; Chordata; Aves; Psittaciformes; Psittacidae. The record is from Ensembl.
UCUUUUUUUUUUUUUUUAAUUUUGAGUAUUGCAGGUAACCAGAAGUAUUCUUUCCAAUCUAAGCCAGAAAUGUCUUAGAGAAAUGUGAUUAACGAAUGGACAGCAAAACCACUGAGACAGAAAAGCUCUGUAUCUAUUAGGUAGAUUCAAUAGGAUGUGAGGGAUAUACACUAUGCCAGGAGGGUCACUGCCAACUAGAAACUCAAGUGCAUUGGAAUGUUUAUUCUAUAGCAGCUUAAUCCAUAAGCGUAAUUUUCUCUUUCCUCUGAAAUAUAAGACCUUAUUCUUUCUCAUUUAGCAGAGGACAAAAGUACUAAUUACUUAUGGCCCUAUUAAAUGAAAUCACAUAGGGCAGUAUCUGAUGAAUGAAUAAAUGGUAAAUGAAAUCAGAAUCUGCAGUAUGAUUCUUAUAGCAAGUUCAAGGCUUACUUCAGAAGAUAUUGAAAGGAAAAUUCUUUGCAAAAAAUGAAAGCAAUUCAUAACCUCAUUUGCCUUAAUGACAUGAAGCAGCACGUUGUCCAGAAACAUAAUACUGAGGAAAGCUGAAGGAAAAAAAAAACAAAACACUGCUUUGAUCAUAAUUUUUGUACCUCGUUUUACCAACUUCAUAUGUUUAUUUUCUCUCGUCUAAUCUUUAUUGGCCACAGAAAAAUAAACAUUCUUAAACUUGCAUUACAAGUUUAAGAAAAUUUGUGUUGUAAUUAGUAGUAUAAUUUAAUUUUCAUUUCUAUUUUAACUUUUAAUAAUCUAAAUAUUCUUAGCAAAGUUGUCCUGUUUCCACAUUCUAUUGAAGACAAUGAACUGGCUUGAAACAAUAAACAGUGUCUCUCUUCUGAAGAAGAACCAUGUGUGUGUGUAUGCCAUCCUUACAUCUCCUUUCUAAUUCUCAUCACCUAAACCAACUCCAUCUUUUUACUCCAAAGCAUGUCUCUCAGACUGGGAUUCCUGAUCUCAUGCUCAUCAGUGUAUGAGACACUUCCAGUUCUGCACCUCUCACACCUUCUCAAACGUUUAUUGGACAAAAGGGAAAGUACUGCACUGUGAAUGUUAGUGCCACACACUGGAUUACCUCAAAUUCUGUGUAUACUUUUAGAGGAACCAGAAGCCCAGCCUCAACUACGCCUGCCCAGGUGGAAGCACCAAUGUUAAAAGUGACUUCUUGAAUUCUGGUAACUCCUGUUGUUGAUUGACCUGCCACUGGUUGUGGUUAAAAUUGAAUUCAAGAGCAGAAAUGGCUCUAUACACAGAGCAAAUCAGGUCUUGCAAAACUUUGUUAAUUUGGACUUACCAUGAGCAACAUUACACCAGUACUUUCAUUCUGAAUCUUAGACUUACCAACCAAGUUUGACAUGGAGGAAGAAUUCAUGGGAAGAGGAUCCAUGUAGUUAGUUUUGACUAGUUCAACACCACUAUAACAUCCAGAUCUCCAGAGGCAUGGAAGGAAUUUGGUGCUUACAGAAAACUUUGUAGUGAAGUUCUGUAUCCACUCUAUGCAUAGAAGUAAGUAAUCCAACAUACAUAGUAAAAGGCAAUGAGGAGAUAGGAGAUUUUUGAUAGGAAAGGGGCUGAAGACUUUACUUAAACCUGAGAAUAUUAUCCAUAAAAGGUGUAUCUACUGUAGCAGCAUAAACGUCAGUGCAGGCUAAUUAGGCCUACUUCUUCAUACACACGAAAAAAAAAACAAAACCGAAAAAAAAACCAAAACCAAAAAAAAACCCCAAAAGUGAGUAUUACUUUAGAAAGUAUUUUAUGUGUGUUCUUUUGCGUACUUUUCUGUGCUCCUUAGCAUCCCCUGGUAGCUGUAAAUUGAAGUGUGAUCACAGAUGUAGAUUGGUUGUAAUAUCUCAGUGGGUUGUUACCAGAAUAAGUGAUAUGCCUUAUAUGGAGAUGUAUUAUUGUUGACAACAGCUCAAUCAACAUUCAAAUGGCCUUCCAUUAUAAUUUCUGAAAGAUUAAGACUCCUUCAGUUACAGUUACAUCCACUUCUGCAAACAUGCCCUUUGAUGACAUUUGUAUAUUCUUUUCCCCUUGCUCCUAGAGUACCAAUUAGUCACAUAUUAUGUAUACAGAAAUAACAGACAUUUUAAGGUGGAUUUUGGAUACAUUAAUAAUUAAAUGUAUCUUUGAAGCAAGCUAUUGUAACUUGAAAAUAUCUAACUGGAAAUACAUAUCAGCAUUAUAGUUUAUUAAACACUGAGGUUUGCUACUUGUUUCUGAAUUUUAAAAUUGCUUCAGUAUUUCUAAAGAGUUUAAGGAAAACCUGAGAUAAAAAAGUUGCUGGCAAAGUUGUCACCAGAUAUAAAUGCUGCCAAUGCUUUAGUAACAGAUAAAAAUGUUAUUUUUACCUUCUUAUUUUUUUCUUUGUAUUAGUUUUAAAUCUUCAUUUUUAAAAUGAAACUAAGUGGAAAACUAUCAUGUAAAAUAACAUAGCAGGAACU